AUGGUUUCCUGCAGGCAGCCAGGCUCCCUGAGGAGCGACACCACAGCUCCUGGCUCCCCUCCUGCAAGGCUCUGCCACCGAGGAGCCACGGCAGGCUGGACAGACGGCCAGCUGAUGCAUUUUCCCCUUGGCCCCACUGAUGCCUGCCCCCACACCGUGCUGGGGCCACCACCACCCUUGGAUAGAGCUUGGGGACAUGGGAUCAACAGGACGGGCAGCUAUGGGGCCCUCCACCCAGCUGCGCCCUGGUUGUGCCGCCCCCCCAAGCUGGGCACAGCCCCAGACAUGAGGCUUUCGGAGGCCAGCAUGGAGGAGGGGCAAGAAGAACGUUUUUGUUGCUGGCUCCUAAAACGCUGUUGCUGUUCUCACGGUGAGCAGCCACCUCCAGAGCCCUCCCGCCUGCAGGUCUCACCUCACCAUCCCCUGCCCCUUCUCAGACCGCUCCAAACCACCAGCAGCCACGGCGACCUGCCAGGCCUCCACUCCCGGCCUCCUCAGGGCUUCAGGGCCAGCCUGUUGUGUCACCUGCUGCCCGAGUCCCUCAGGACCCGAGCCACCAGCUCACCCCCGCUUAGGCCGUGCAGCACCUUGUGGGGGGUGGCGGCUGGAAGGGCAGGAGCCCCCCCCACACACAGCACACACACAGCCCGGCGCUCUCGGCUCCCAUCCCCUUCUCAGCGCCCGAGCCCCGGCUCCGUGGCGGCCGUUUCCAAGAGGCAGCGUGAGGGCUGGGUGUGCAGGCUUUCCCCAGCCAUGUUGCAGCAGCGCCCAGCGGCUCUGGCAGGCAGCGCUGCAAUAGCAGGCGGCUGCAGGAGCCGCCCGGCAGAGGGGCUCCGGUGGCAAAGGUCUGCUGGGCCCUUCGGAGGUAAAUGGAAAAAAAAAAAAAAACACAGCUGGACACAGCUGGACGCUUCCUCACAGGGCCCCGCUGGUCCCAGGGCUCAGGGGGUGACAAGCACUCGGCCACGGCUCCACUGCUCCUCCCCACCUCCAAAAUCUCACCACGUAACCACCUGGUACUGGUCCCCCCUCACCCAGCUCCCCCACAACGCCACCGCAGCAACCCCGAGCGUAAAUCGAUGGCUGUAA
This 1089-nucleotide long non-coding RNA is filed under the name Anser brachyrhynchus (Pink-footed goose). RNAcentral's name for it is "lncRNA (ENSABRG00000015705.1)". Lineage: Eukaryota; Metazoa; Chordata; Aves; Anseriformes; Anatidae. The record is from RNAcentral.